Molecule: long non-coding RNA, 976 nt
Organism: Colias croceus (clouded yellow)
Lineage: Eukaryota; Metazoa; Arthropoda; Insecta; Lepidoptera; Pieridae
Exons: 4
Source: RefSeq, a predicted model, not a curated record
UUGUUCCUGUCUACGGCGCCAUUUUGAGAAGCCAUGUUAUGACAAUUGACAUUUAUUUGAAUUUUUGAAACGAUACCUUCUACUAGUCAUAACUGUAAAUAAGUGCUAAAUUUGCCAUGGGACUAUCAAAGUGUUGUGUCGGUGGUUGCACCGCAACCAAUGCGACGAAUCGGCUUUUUUGUUUUCCGCAGAAAUCAGAAUGAUAAUUUCAGGAACCUGUGGAUGUCCUUUCUGGUGCCCACUAAUUCCUCCCUCAUCGGAUUGUCGAAAGAUCAACUUCGACACAAACGCGUUUGUGAGAAACACUUCGACAGAUAGCAGUUCGAUGAAGAAGGCAAGAGGCUUAGGCAUUCAUACCCAUGCCUAUUUACGGAUGACGAAAUAGCGCACGGCGUGCCCCUGUCUUCCAGUGAUGUACAAAAUGCUCUGAGUGAUCACAAUUAUCACAAAGUGGAAUCAGAUGAGAAUGAAAAUGUUACAGAUAAUAUUAUGUUGGUCAUUGGAAGGGCAGGUGAUGAUUAUCAUGAACAUCCAUCAUGCAUUACAGCUAUUCCAGUUGUUAUGAAAAGACCUACAGAUAACAUUCACACGGGCAGCAGUAGCAGUGUGGCUACUACAGCGGAAGUUGUGGAGUUCUUCGACGAUUUAUUCGAUAGCGUAAAUUGUUAUCCUGGAGGCGCAACAAAAGGGAAAAUGAGAAAAGCAGUAAAAAUAAACUCUUGCAAAUGCUGCUCUUGCAAAAAAAAUUGCAUGGGUGUCAGAAAACACACAAUAUGUGUUUAAAAAAAAUGUUUUUACAUAUAUUGUUAGGCUUCAUGUCCAUAACUGGAGCAAUAUUAUAAAUAAAAUUUUAAAGGGAGCUAUAGAGGAGAGAUAUGUGCAAAAAAUGGCAGGAAUCCAUAAAAUUGCUUUUAUGAAAUAUAAAACAAGUAAAUUAAGAAAAAGGGCAUUAAAUAAAUAAACAUUGAAAACGAAA